ACGCAAGCAACCGCAUUAGAAGAAUAUCCCAAUCGCUAAUAAAAAGUAAUUCAAAUUAGAAGAAAAAAAGAAGAAGAAACUAGUCGUUGGGGCUCACAAAUUCAAAUGGUAUAUAUAUUGGGUCACAACACAAGUUGUCCAUUUUUCUUCACAAAAGACAAACAAAUCUCUUCUUCUUCCUCCUCAAUUCUCUCUAUUUCUCUCUCUAAACGUUCCUCCCUCUUUCUCUCUCUCAAUGCUCCUCUCUCUCUCUCUCUCUUUCUCUGAUUCUGUUUGAAAAGCUUGCUGUGCAUAGAUCUGCAUGUACUUAUCUUGAGAAUUCCAAAGGUGCUGUGGUCGAGAAGUUGGUAGAAGAAACAACAACCAAUGAUUAGCAUUUGAGGCAUCUUAUAAAGUAUGUGUGACUAGUGAAGAACUGUAUCUUUGCGUUGGCCUUUCUAUAAUCACCCAUGAUUUUUAGAAUUUUAUAGACCUUGCUGGAAGUGAAAGAGCUUCACAGACACAUGCAGAUGGGGCGAGGCUCAGAGAAGGCGAUCAUAUCAAUCUUAGUUUGAUAACUCUCACAACUGUGAUAAGAAAGCUCAGUUCGAACUUGAAUAUUAGCAUAGUUUUUGAUUGUCAAGUUUUAUCUCAUAUCUUGCUUUUUUCUCCAACUUUUACGUGUAGAAUAUAUCCUUCGUCAUACUGAUACUUGCAUGUUAUAAUGGAUUCUAAGAUAACACCUAAGCAAGUUCCAUAAGUACUUGUCCGAUUCCUGUUGACUACAUACUGAAUUUCUUUUUUACUUGCAGUGUUGCGAAAAGAAGCGGUCAUAUACCUUACGGGGACUCCAGCUUCCCGGCAAGUUUUGGAAAAUGAGAUUGAAAACAGAGCACCAGAAAAUGAAGACUUCAUUUCAUAUCCGGUGAGACCCAGCCAGAGUCUGUGAAAGAGACUUCUAUAAUAUGUGGAGACGUUUCAUCAAAGGAAGGAACUCCAGGCUAUCGUCAUUCUAUUUCAGCUCGAGCAAUGAGACGUGAAAGAGAGUUUCUCGCAAAGAGGUUGACUUCACGUUUAAAUGAAAGUGCUGAGAUAGUAGUAAAGCUUGUAGGAUUAUGUGAGAAUUCCAUUUGAGCUAAAUUUUGCACUACCAAUGAUAA
This is a long non-coding RNA of Ricinus communis (castor bean), 1139 nucleotides long. RefSeq lists it as uncharacterized. NCBI's taxonomy places the organism in Eukaryota, Viridiplantae, Streptophyta, Magnoliopsida, Malpighiales, Euphorbiaceae. The record is from RefSeq and is a predicted model, not a curated record. The transcript is spliced from 3 exons.